AGUGAACGCUGGCGGUAGGCCUAACACAUGCAAGUCGAACGGCAGCACAGUAAGAGCUUGCUCUUACGGGUGGCGAGUGGCGGACGGGUGAGGAAUACAUCGGAAUCUACUUUUUCGUGGGGGAUAACGUAGGGAAACUUACGCUAAUACCGCAUACGACCUACGGGUGAAAGCAGGGGAUCUUCGGACCUUGCGCGAUUGAAUGAGCCGAUGUCGGAUUAGCUAGUUGGCGGGGUAAAGGCCCACCAAGGCGACGAUCCGUAGCUGGUCUGAGAGGAUGAUCAGCCACACUGGAACUGAGACACGGUCCAGACUCCUACGGGAGGCAGCAGUGGGGAAUAUUGGACAAUGGGCGCAAGCCUGAUCCAGCCAUACCGCGGGGGUGAAGAAGGCCUUCGGGUUGUAAAGCCCUUUGUUGGGAAAGAAAAGCAGCAGGUUAAUACCCCGCUGUUCUGACGGUACCCAAAGAAUAAGCACCGGCUAACUUCGUG
RNAcentral lists this ribosomal RNA (491 nucleotides) under uncultured bacterium. Its description in RNAcentral is "partial 16S ribosomal RNA". It matches the Rfam family "Bacterial small subunit ribosomal RNA", at positions 29 to 507 of the family's 1533-position model. The record is from RNAcentral.